RNAcentral lists this ribosomal RNA (253 nucleotides) under uncultured bacterium. Its description in RNAcentral is "partial 16S ribosomal RNA". It matches the Rfam family "Bacterial small subunit ribosomal RNA", at positions 524 to 776 of the family's 1533-position model. The record is from RNAcentral.
UACGUAGGUGGCAAGCGUUGUCCGGAAUUACUGGGUGUAAAGGGAGCGCAGGCGGGAAGCCAAGUCAGCUGUGAAAACUACGGGCUUAACUUGUAGACUGCAGUUGAAACUGGUUUUCUUGAGUGAAGUAGAGGUUGGCGGAAUUCCGAGUGUAGCGGUGAACUGCGUAGAUAUUCGGAGGAACACCGGUGGCGAAGGCGGCCAACUGGGCUUUAACUGACGCUGAGGCUCGAAAGUGUGGGGAGCAAACAGG